CAGCCGCGGGAAUACGAAGGGUGCAAGCGUUAAUCGGAAUUACUGGGCGUAAAGCGUGCGUAGGCGGUGAGUUAAGUCUGCUGUGAAAUCCCCGGGCUCAACCUGGGAAUGGCAGUGGAUACUGGCUCGCUAGAGUGUGUCAGAGGAUGGUGGAAUUCCCGGUGUAGCGGUGAAAUGCGUAGAGAUCGGGAGGAACAUCAGUGGCGAAGGCGGCCAUCUGGGACAACACUGACGCUGAGGCACGAAAGCGUGGGGAGCAAACAGGAUUAGAGACCCCGGUAGUCCCUGUCUCUUAUACACA
RNAcentral lists this ribosomal RNA (301 nucleotides) under uncultured bacterium. RNAcentral's name for it is "partial 16S ribosomal RNA". It matches the Rfam family "Bacterial small subunit ribosomal RNA", at positions 512 to 810 of the family's 1533-position model. The record is from RNAcentral.